This 465-nucleotide ribosomal RNA is filed under the name uncultured bacterium. RNAcentral describes it as "partial 16S ribosomal RNA". It matches the Rfam family "Bacterial small subunit ribosomal RNA", at positions 338 to 795 of the family's 1533-position model. The record is from RNAcentral.
CCUACGGGGUGCAGCAGUAGGGAAUUUUCGUCAAUGGGCGCAAGCCUGAACGAGCGAUGCCGCGUGAGUGAAGAAGGCCUUCGGGUCGUAAAGCUCUGUUGCGGGGGAAAAAAGGCAGCAUCAGGAAAUGGGUGCUGACUGAUGGUGCCCCGCCAGAAAGUCACGGCUAACUACGUGCCAGCAGCCGCGGUAAUACGUAGGUGGCGAGCGUUAUCCGGAAGGAUUGGGCGUAAAGGGUGCGCAGGCGGUCCUGCAAGUCUGGAGUGAAACGCAUGAGCUCAACUCAUGCAUGGCUUUGGAAACUGGAGGACGGGAGAGCAGGAGAGGGCGGUGGAACUCCAUGUGUAGCGGUAAAAUGCGUAGAUAUAUGGAAGAACACCAGUGGCGAAGGCGGCCGCCUGGCCUGUUGCUGACGCUGAGGCACGAAAGCGUGGGGAGCAAAUAGGAUUAGAUACCCCUGUAGUC